UCUUUUUACAAUUGACAUGAAAAUCUAUUUUGCUGUGAUCGCUAUGCUAAUUUGUUGCAAUUUAACAGUGGGCAAAAAGGAAUGCGAAUAUGCGUGCAUAUUAUUAGAUUCUCCUGUUUGUGGAACAGGGGCUUUGAAGGAUGAAAUAUUGUUUUGUGAAUUCGAGAAUGAGUGUGAAAUGAAACGCAUAGCCUGCAAGAACGAUAUAAAUUUACGCCCCAUUCCUUGCAGAGGUAUUGGAGUGUCGAACAAUUGUGGAUACAUUAAGCGUAUGGCAAAUUUAAAAUAACAAUAAAGGCGAAGCAAUUGAAUUUUA
Molecule: long non-coding RNA, 316 nt
Organism: Drosophila albomicans
Lineage: Eukaryota; Metazoa; Arthropoda; Insecta; Diptera; Drosophilidae
Exons: 2
Source: RefSeq, a predicted model, not a curated record